This 234-nucleotide long non-coding RNA is filed under the name Lathyrus oleraceus (garden pea). RNAcentral describes it as "Pisum sativum (pea) long non-coding RNA (PSAT_LNC007725)". The record is from RNAcentral. Lineage: Eukaryota; Viridiplantae; Streptophyta; Magnoliopsida; Fabales; Fabaceae.
GAGAAAAUGCCUUUUGAUUUGAGUCAUAGACAAAAGUAUGAAUCGAGUUAAGAGAGUGAAUGAUUUUAAUCAAUAUUCAAGAAUCAAGAAAAACUGCUUCCAUGAUUCGAAUCAACCCUUUUUGUGAUUCGAGUCAACUGGAUUUGUGAUUUGAAUCAGGAUCACUGAACCAAAAUCCAAAAUUUGUUGUAUGCAUUUGAUUCGAGUCAAGCAUGUAUGUGAUUUGAAUCAAAC